Molecule: long non-coding RNA, 256 nt
Filed under: Mytilus galloprovincialis (Mediterranean mussel)
Lineage: Eukaryota; Metazoa; Mollusca; Bivalvia; Mytilida; Mytilidae
Source: RNAcentral
GUGCCUAAAUUUUCAGACCCAAAUAUGAGGGUUGGGAAAUCCCUGCAUUCUAACAUGUACCUAAUAUUUUAACAACAAUUCAUACACAAAUAACAGUGAACUGAUUUAAAUGUAAUUCAAAUUUCUAUUUAACAGACAGAAAGGUCGUUUCAAAAGCAGCCCACAGUGUUUCUGAACAAGAAGCAAGGUGCUGGAAAAAAGAAGGCUCUUAGACAUCAUUUCAGUGUUGGUCUGGGAUUCAAAACACCCAGAGAGG